AAAGUCGUAACAAGGUUUCCGUAGGUGAACCUGCGGAAGGAUCAUUACCUAGAGUUGUAGGCUUUGCCUGCUAUCUCUUACCCAUGUCUUUUGAGUACCUUCGUUUCCUCGGCGGGUCCGCCCGCCGAUUGGACACAUUUAAACCCUUUGUAGUUGCAAUCAGCGUCUGAAAAACUUUAAUAGUUACAACUUUCAACAACGGAUCUCUUGGUUCUGGCAUCGAUGAAGAACGCAGCGAAAUGCGAUAAGUAGUGUGAAUUGCAGAAUUCAGUGAAUCAUCGAAUCUUUGAACGCACAUUGCGCCCCUUGGUAUUCCAUGGGGCAUGCCUGUUCGAGCGUCAUUUGUACCUUCAAGCUUUGCUUGGUGUUGGGUGUUUGUCUCGCCUCUGCGCGCAGACUCGCCUCAAAACAAUUGGCAGCCGGCGUAUUGAUUUCGGAGCGCAGUACAUCUCGCGCUUUGCACUCAUAACGACGACGUCCAAAAAGUACAUUUUUUACACUCUUGACCUCGGAUCAGGUAGGGAUAGCCGCUAGAAC
This 537-nucleotide ribosomal RNA is filed under the name fungal sp. JO13. Its description in RNAcentral is "eukaryotic LSU rRNA". The stretch from base 188 to 341 matches the Rfam family "5.8S ribosomal RNA". Lineage: Eukaryota; Fungi. The record is from RNAcentral.